RNAcentral lists this transfer RNA (70 nucleotides) under Haplotropis brunneriana. Its description in RNAcentral is "tRNA-Asp". The record is from RNAcentral. Lineage: Eukaryota; Metazoa; Arthropoda; Insecta; Orthoptera; Pamphagidae. RNAcentral also lists the same sequence under 1 other name.
AAGGAGUUAGUUAAAUCAAAAAUAACAUUAGAAUGUCAAUCUAAAAUUACUAAUGAAUUAGUACACCUUG